RNAcentral lists this long non-coding RNA (8742 nucleotides) under Marmota monax (woodchuck). Lineage: Eukaryota; Metazoa; Chordata; Mammalia; Rodentia; Sciuridae. The record is from RNAcentral.
GGAAGUUCCUUCGGGGAGGAGUAAGGCCCUGUCAUUUGUCUUUGUUCCCUUAACUCUUCAGCUUUGAUGAGCAGGACCACCUCAGGAAGAAGGUCAGGAAGGCUUUUAAAAUUCUAUAUUUGUUAAAUUCAUAAUUUUGAUCUGAUAUUCAUAGGUUAAUAUGUUUUUCUGAUUACACUCUGCUUUGUCCUAAGGCCAAUUUACAAGGGUUAACUCUCAAUCUAAUAGGUUUUUUUUAAAAAAUAACCAACAAGGCUUUUGUCUGUUUGCUUUGUGUGGGUGCACGGGUGUACUGUCCGUCCUCAUGUACUGCCAUGUCUACAUACAUUUGGUACCAAAAAUUGACUUAUGAGCUCAUAAAUUAAAAUUUUUAAAAAAUGGAUCCAAAUACCUUUGGUUAAUAUGAUUUAAAAGGUUCAAUUUAAAUUGGUAAAAUAAAUAAAAGUACAAAUACCUUUAAAGUUACUAAUGCACAGUUUUGUUUCUAGGUUGUAGGUUGUGAAACAGUUGUUAAUAAAAUGUUAAUGUCUGUAAAGUGUCUAAUAGCUAUUGUCUCUAGGAUUUUUCUUCAACAGGAAAAAAAUUACUAAUGCUAUUCAAUACACUUGUCUGAUACCUUGCUUUUUUUAAUAUUUGUUUUUUAGUUGUAGUUGGACACAAUACCUUUAUUUAUUUAUUUAUUUUUAUGUGGUGCUGAGGAUUGAACCCAGGGCCUUGCACUUUCUAGGCAAGCGCUCUACCACUGAGCCACAACCCCAGCCCAAUACUUUGCUUUUUAAAAAAAAUGUAAAUUAGAUCUGACAUGUAUAAAAUUAAUCAUGGAUGUGUUUGUUAGAGACAUCUGACUGGUUUACAAAGUUAAAUGCUAACUGUUAAAUAUGAUAUCAAGUACUCUUAACUCCUUAAAAUCCAUAAAGUAAAAUACGUAAACAUUGUUAACAUUUUCAUAUAUUGGUAAAUUUAAAAAAUUUUAAAUUACCUUAUGUUGUCACAAAAACAAGGUUACUAAAAGUUAAAAGUCCCAACAGGUAUAAUUCAAGAGUAUAUAAUUCAAGGUUUCAACUACAUUUCAAUUAAAGUUCUGUAAAUAACAAAAUAUUUCAUCUUAUUAAAAUGGAUUAAUUUAUCUAAUUCAGAAAUUUAUAAAGGUUAUUUCAAGGUAUAAACAGAAUCAAUGGAUUAAAAAUUAUUAAAAGGUUCUAAAUAUAAAAAUAUAUUUAAUAUAAAAAAUGUUUCCAGGUUUAAAAAAGUCUUUAUGGGGUUAAAGUAUAAUUAUAAUACACCUAAGUAAACAAUAAAAGGUCUAAUUAAGUAAUAUAAAUGUCUAUAAACAAAGGAAAAAUAUUAAAAGGUUUAUAUAUAUCUAAGUUGGUUAUACAUGUAACACAAAUAGUUAAAACUAUUCAAGGUUGUUCCCUAAAGACACAUAUUAAUGUAUUGAUAUAUUUAUAUGUUAAAAUGACAAAAAUUUCUAAAAAUAUUUAUUACAUUGUGUCUGUUAAGUUUUAUUCUCUAGAGCAACUAAUCUUAGCGAAAUUAAGGUUUGUACAUCUAUGGUUAAACAGCAACUGUUAUUUUAAAAUAUUGUUCUACAUUACAGAGUCCAGAUUUUUCUUUAAAGGCUAAACUUUGUUAAUAUUAAAAAAAUCAAUGAAAUUGUAGUACAUUACUCUUUUUACAUAUAAAUGUGUUCAUAUCUUUCAGGUAUACAAGUCCCUAAGGUAAAAGAUUUAAAGGAACAUUUUAUCAAGCUGGUGUUCUCCAAACUAAAUAUAAUGUCUGUAGUGGUAAUUUUGUCUGUGAUGGUAAUUUUGUCUAUAAUGGUAAUUUUAAACUUAUAAGGAUAACAGAUUUUAUUGGGGAUUUAUUUAUAUCAUUUGAUGUUUUGUAACCAAACCUUGUGUUAUCUUUUACACUGGGAUAUAUAAAAUUUAAAAGAUGAGAGCCUAAUCUGUUUAAAGGUUAAUAUUAUAAAACAUUUUGCCACUUUUCCACACAAAAGGAAAGUUAAGAGCUCUCAGCCUUUCUUGAUGCAUGUUUUAAAUGUAUGUCAUAUUGUGUUAGCUAACAUUCAUACAGACUUAGGAAACAAUAUAUAUAAACUUUAUAAAAUGAUAUCUAAAAAAGGAGACAAAGGUCAGCUUCAGAAUUAGCAAAUUUUACCUAAGAUUUGUGAAGAGCCCUGCCUUACCUGAGAUAAAACUCUGCCUCCCACCUUACAACAUGUCAGAAUGACUUCAAAGUAGGCCAGACCUCGGUAGAUUUAAAGUUCUAUUCAAAGAUUGAUUUUAUUGUAAAGAUUACUAUGAUCUCAAAUAGGAGAUACAAUGUAUAACUCAACCAAGGUUCAAUAUUAUAUACAAGCUAAAUAUGUUUUUACUAUUGUUAAUUUCACUUUAUAUUUCCAUUAUAACUGAUGCCUGUUUUACAGAGGUAAUACUUUAAAAACACACAACCUAAAUUAAUUUGAGAUAUUAAGCCAUCAUCUGUAGACAGAUAGUAAUUAAAAGGGAUUGAAUUAACUGUAAAGAGGCUGGGGUUAUGGCUCAGCAGUAAAGUGCUUGCCUUGCAUGUGUGAGGCACUGGGUUCGAUCCUCAGCAUCACAUGAAUAAAUAAAUAAAAUAAAGAUAUUGUGUCAUGUACAGUUUAAAACAAAAAAUUAUUAACAUUAAAGUUAAAGUCCAGUACUCUUAGUUUAAGACUGACUUGCUGGAUGUUUAAGGCCAAGGCUUAAAAAUUAAAGUUAAAAUAAAGAGGACAAGAAAACCAAUAUUUGCCUCUUGCCCUCUGAGUCAGCCUGAAUCCAGGAAAAAGGGGAAGAGCUUUGCAACUCCAGGCCACAUAACCUCCCGAUAAGGCAUAUUGAGACCACUGGAGAACAGAAAGCCAAUGAGUGUACAUGCUGUAAAAGAGGAGUGUCAUUGAAAAGGGGAGACAUGCCUGAUGCUUCCAAGGGAAGCCACAUGGUCAGCAAGACUUGACCCAUCCAAACACAGAUGUCACUAGCAGAGCUAAAAUGCUGCUCAUGAGUUCCCCAAGAGUAUCUCCCAAGGGAACUCAGCUGACUCUUAACAAUAGAUAGGAACAAGGUCAGUUGACCAGCUUGAUCUUAAACACCUAGCAAAAACAGUUAAAACCAAAGUACAGCCAUUCCUGGACAUUUAAAAAAAAAGUUAUUUUAAUGUAACAGAAGAUGUUCGCUUGUGUUAGCAACCCCCAAAAUAAGUAAGACUGGCGAUAACAAAAGAGAGAUUCUUAGGCAAAAGUGCCUGAUAACUAUCUAUAGAAACUGCCAAAACAAGAAGUUUUUAUCAGUUUAAGGCCUAGAGAUCGUCCUAACUUCCUACACAGGUAGACUUGAUCAAUGUUUGCUAGUAUAAUUAUCUAGCCCUAAAUAACAAAAAGAUCCUUACUGAACACAGAGGUCAUGCCAAUAAAGAUAUUUUAUAAGAAUCAGAUGACAUUACCUAACAUAACUAAAUGUUGUGUCUACAUUCCUGAUAACUCUGACAAGGUUAAAGAUCUAUGUUCCCUAAAAAGGGCCUUAUUAGGCUUUGUUAGGCCUUGUUAUGGGGACAAUUUCCCAGGCCUUCCACCUCCUGGUAAACAAUUAUGAAUUUCUAUCAUUUUCAUGAUAUUCAUGGACAGGUUCCAGAUGCUACAACUGCUAUUUUGUAUUAAUCUUAUUUCAAUACUCAUGUCUUUUUGUUUGGCUCAUAGAAGGCCCAACCCCAGGUGAAUUUACAACCUGUUCUUCCUGAACCAAAUUAUUACCAUAAACUCCUUGACCCACUCAAUUUCUAAAAGGGGACUCCAAACUUCUUGCCCCACUGUACAUUGCCCCCUCUCAGCUCAAAGUAGCAAGAAUGGUCAUCCUCCUUUUUCCUUACAGCAGUAGGAAGUCCCUAACAAACAUUAGAGGGGAAAUUAUGGUAAGUAUAGAUGUUCACCAAUGUCUAGCUCAGGAAGAUGUGCCUGGGGAAUUAAUCCCAAGAUCACCCGGGUGAUCUCCAAGAGAGAGACACUUACUUGCUUCUACAGCCCAACUUAUAAGUGGGACAACUCCCCUUUUACCAAAAAUUGUGCUUCCUGGGUCCACUUUGAUCAACCACUAAGCCAUACUUUCUUGUUCCUACUGAAGGAACUCAGUUUGCCUGCAUGUCUGGACUAACUUCUUGCCUAAAUCUCCCAACUGUCAUUAACUCUGAACUAUGUGUCACAACCCAUCUUUUUCCUCAAACCUACUAUUUUGAUGGAGUAGAAGAAAGAAAACACCUGGACUUAUUAGAAGGCCAGGGCCCACUGAUUUACCAACACAGACGGGCUGCCUUCAUUUUAGUUCCCCUCCUGGCUGGCUUGGGACUAGCUGGAUCUACUGUUUUAGGAACUGCAGCUCUUAUUCAGGCUCUGAAAAUUUUAAGUCCCUUGGCUACCAAAUAGACUUAGGAGAACUAGAAAGGUCAAUUUCCAAACUAGAAGCUUCACUAGAUUCUCUGGCAGAAAUGGUCUUACAAAAUAGACAGGGCCUAGAUCUUCUCUUUUUAAAAUAAGGAGGACUUUGUAUGGCCCUAGGGGAAACUUGUUGUUUCUAUACAAACCAUUCUGGGAUAAUAAAAGACAGUUUGGCACUAGUGAGAAACAGGUUUUUUUUGUUUUGUUUAGGAAAAAAAUACACGAGAAGUCUCAGGUAAUUGGUUCCAAAACCUAUUCUCAUGGUCCCCUUGGUUGACUACCAUCAUCUCAGCCAUAGCUUUGCCCUUAGUUCUUCUCUUGAUUGCGAUAACUGUAGGACUCUGCCUCUUAAAAAACUCUCCAAAAUCAUAUACACAAGAGUGUAGGUGAGGUCCGAUUAUGGUCUUGUGAGCCCUGGAUGGUCCCUUAGAAAAAAGGGAAGAAACUAAGGCAUAAGGAUGUGCAAGAUUGACAUCAAACCUACUAAAACCAGUGGGGAAUGUGAUAGUCAAGCCAAAGUGACUCCAUUUUGUAAAACAACUGUGCCAAAUAGAAAGAUCAUGACUGGGGAAAGUUGUUCUUUUCCUUUUACUACAGAAACCCUUAAGAACACGGAACUACCUAAUGGGGCACUGUUUCUGUAACUAGGGUAAUGGGGCUGUGUUUCUGUAACUGGGGUGACUGGGCUGUGAUUGGUUAGGCUUCCCGCCACCUGACUGCCCUCUCCCGCUUCUGUACCUGGCUGGCUUGCAUUGGCUGGACCCCCGAACAUCCUUUUUGCAGUUUUCAGGCUUAUAAGGAGCGCCCUUGUUAUUGUUUGGGGCUGAACAGGGGAAUAGCUUCAUGUUCUGGUCAGUUGCCACUAGUGUGCUUCAGUAGAGGCUUGAUUCAAUUAAAUGUGAGUGGUCUGGAAGUCAGUUUAUGAAACCCCAGGACGAUGCUUUAACUAUAACACUACCACUGAGCUACAGCCCCAGCCCCGAUAUGCCAUUCUUUUUAUGGCUGAGUAAUACUCCACUGUUUAUCACAUUUUCAUUUGUCAAGAGCCAUCCGUGGACUAUAUGUGGACCAAAUCAGCAUGGAAACCCACUGAAUAGAAAAUCUGCUAUUUGGGAACUCCCAGUGGCAAUCCCACUGGUCAGAUCGCCCAGGUAAGUGUGAGUCCUACUCAGCUCUGCCAGGUCCCUCAGAGCAUGGGAGAUGGGGUGACCUACUGCAGCCACACAGCCCCUCUGAGAAGGGUGUAGCCUGCCAAGAUGCCAGUCAACCUGUUGACUGCAAGGCCUCAUGAAGCAGGACUCCACCCCGAAACCUCAUCCCUGCCUUUGAUGUGCCCCUUAAGUAAAACCACAGAACCAUUUUCUAAUUGUUCAGCUCCAGCUCCUGUGCAGGCUGGACCUAGCAAUGCUCUGCAUUUAAAACUAUUUUUCUGACUUUGUCUUUUAUUUCUUUACUAAUUAUUCCAGACUCUAUUUUCUCAGGUAGCAUAUACCCUCUUGGGCAGGAAAAUGUACCCUGGCAAGUCACUGACAGCCUCACGGUAACUCAUUGUCUACCCACCGACAGCCAUCUAGGUUGAUCCUGUACUGUGGAUGUGCAGUAAUAAACCCGAGCAGGCAGGAAUCUCUGCAACAUGCUGAUGGGCCACACUGGAGGCCUACUUUUAGUUUUCUGAGGACCCACCACACUGUUCUCCAUAAUGGCUCUACUGACUUAGGUUGCCACCAAGAGUGUGAGAGACUUCCCCUUUCUCCACACCCUUGCCAGCAUUUCUUUUGUGUUUUGGAUACCAGACAUUUCGAUGGGUUGAGAUCAUAUGUCACUUUGGUAUUGAUUUCCUUCAAAGCCAUAGUUUUUGAGCAUUUUUCCAUAAAUUAAUGAACCAUUUGGAUUUUUUAGGGCUAUCAUAUCAUUUGCCCAUUUUAAAAAAAAAAAUAUUUAUUUUUUAGUUGUAUAUGGACACAAUACCUUUAUUUUAUUUAUUUUUAUGUGGUGCUGAGGCUCAAACCCAGUGCCUUGUGAGUGCUCUACCACCGAAUGGUAGAGUGCUCUACCACUGAGCCACACCCCAGCCAUCAUUCACCCAUUUUUAAUCAGAUUUUUCAUUCCUAUUCUGGAUUUCUGGAUAUCAAUCCUUUGUCGGAUGAGUAGGUUGUAAGGUUUUUUUUUUCUUUCUCAUUUUGUAGGUUGCGUCUUCCCUCUGUUGAUGGCUUCCUUGGAUGUGCAGAAGCUUCUCAGUUUGAUACAAUCCCGUUGUUAUAUUCUCACCUUCUGAUCUCUAGGUGCCAAUGCAUGUCCCCCUGGGCCCACAGAGCAAACAGGUGACAGCCACAGCAGGAUACAGGAGCCCUGGCCACCGCCUCCUGUUCUACCUGCACCUCUGGCCAUCUGGGCCAGGUGCAGGAGGCGGGCACGCAGGCCACUGCAGGCAAAGCAUGGGGCCAACCAGCUGGAGUGCCCAGGGGCCACCAUCCACUGCAGAUGGUGCAGCCAGACCAGGCUUGGUGCUGCCACACUUGUGGCCAGGCCCUAACCUGCAAACCCCACAAUGAGCACUGCAGGGCCUCCUCUCAGAGUCUCACACAGACCCGCCAAAUUUGAGGUUCCAUGAGGGCCCAAGGGGUGUUAGAAAAAUACUCACACACUUGGAGAUUUUGAAGAUAAAGCUGGGGUCAGGUGGAGAAGCAGAUCUAGAGUUAAGCCAGCAAGCUUUAUUUAUGUAUGUCUCCUUAGGUUAAAGACUAUGCAAGCAUUAUUCUUUGUACGCCGGAAAGUUACAGAACUAGAGACAUCUAUGCAGCUGUUCCACAGUUGAGUGUGCAAUGUCAGGAGCUUUGCGGAGCGCUCAAGGGGCCCAUUGUUUAAAGUUACUGUUAAGCAGACAGGCCGGGGCAGACGUGCUGGUGAUGCUGAUUGUCUAGGAGGACAGUUACUCUGUCCCCAGGAGCUGUGUACCUGGGGUCAAGGCCAAAGCUGAUAAGACUCCUCCACAGAGCCUCCUCAUGCAGGGCGUUGCCAGAGGAACUAGGCAUCCUGUGUUCCCACCAUCAGGCUCACCACAGUCAUGAGGUCACCAGAGACCCAAAUCUCAGUCACUGCUCUCCCAUUCUCUGUCACCACUUUCCACAUUUUUCCCUUUUUAUUUUUUAAAUGAAGACCUGCGGCCACAGCUAGCAGGGCAGAGCCGAGUCCUGCCUGGCUAUGAUGAAGAUUCCGGAAAACUUCCACCUGAGCAGAGUGCUGAGGCACUUGUGGUCCCCCUGGAGCUCACUCGUACGCCCAGAGGCCUCAGGGACUUGUAGUCUGCCCAAGUGACAUUGAUAUCAUAGAAAGUUGACCCCCUCAUAGGCUGGGUUAGGAAAUGUUUUCUACUCCUCAAUUUUUCAGAAAUUUUGAAAAGGGGCAUCUCAGAACAAAGUGGCAAUGACAAGACUGCUUUAUUGAACAUCAGAAUAAAUAACAGAAGAGAGAUGAAGGAGAUACACCACAGAGUGGCAGCAGAGAGACCCCAUGAAAACGGAACCACUUGAAAAACGUCAACCAAACUGACCGACCAUUUACCACAGGAGUAAGGAGAAAAAAGAAGACUCAGACCCGAAGGCGGGGACAUUACUUAUGGCUCCACAGAAAUAGAGGAUUGUGGGGAGCCAUUCUCACACGUGACUGGGCAACUCCCGGACUGGGUGUGAGGCGCUCUGGCUAAACUGUGUCGGAGCUUUCCCGGCCCUCUCCUGGUGCGAGAGCCUGUCCGUGUGGGGGUGUGACUGACCACUGACCCUGGGGCCAAUCACUGACCCUGACCUUGGAGUGCUGCCCCCCUCAACCUUCAUUGGAUGGAAUUCUCCCCUGAAUUUCUUGUUCCCCAAUAAAAGGCCCCUCCCUGGCGUGCUCUCUCUCUCUCCUGCUAGCCCUGAGCAAUCCCUGCUGCCCUACCGGGUGGUUCGAGGUGUGAGCCAGAGGGAGAGCCGUCUCGGACCUGGUCAUAGAAAAAGGUAAUUGAGUCUGUGUGUUUAUUUCGAUCUCACUAGCUAACUUUAUGCCAAGAACCUCUUUAAUGAAACCAGUGCGCUGGUCGCAUGGUGGAAGAGGAUGGAAGGAAUUACGGGACAGAGCCUCGUGCCUGCAGCUGCCCACACCAUGUGAAAUGGACACUCCCAGAGACACACGGGCUACCAAGAGUAGAGCAGGAAGAACAAAAGCUGAGCAGGUUCUUAACUGCGAGAAGAUUGAGUCAGCAAUUGAAAAUCUACCAACGAAGAACAGCUCAGGACUGUGCGGCUCCACUGGUG